This 826-nucleotide long non-coding RNA is filed under the name Equus caballus (horse). RNAcentral's name for it is "lncRNA (ENSECAG00000055607.1)". Lineage: Eukaryota; Metazoa; Chordata; Mammalia; Perissodactyla; Equidae. The record is from RNAcentral.
CGUAAUUGAGAUUCAGCACCUCCUGUCUCAGUCUUCCGUUCCGGGUCCCUCUCACCCUCAGCCAGCACUUCCAAAGGUCUGGAUGACCCAGACCUUCCUUCCUGAAGGAUCUGAGCAACGGUUUACCUUGGCCUCGUCGGGCUGUGGUGGCUGCAAAUGCCCAUUCACAGUUAUCGCCAGGCACGGCACUGCCAAGAGGUGACGCUGAGAGCUCUCCACGUUCCAGACAUACUUCUCACCGCUCCCGUUAUGCAGCCCUAGCUCCUCAGCACAAUCACGGUGAUUACCCCACCAGCAGAGUAACUCCUGUCGCUGCCAGCGGGGACAGUCCCAAGUGACCAGGGAGCAGGUGGAGAUCUAAAGUCCAUGGGAGAAGAGAAGAAGCCCUCCUCCCACCUCCCCACGCCAGGGACCAGCCCCUCGAAUUCCGCAGAGCCUGGAGUUGCAGGAACAGGAAGCAGAGAAUUCCCAAGUAAGUUACUUACUGCUCAGGCUCCAUGUUCUCCCUGUAAAAUGGAGAUGAUCAUACCCACCUCUGAGAAGUGCUGUGAUCAGGACAAAGUGAAAUUCUUGGUACAGUGUCUGGCACCUAGUUUGCUGCAUCCAAAUAAGAAUGACUUCCUCUUGGCAUGAAAUGGAACUCCAACGGGGACUCGCUCCAGCACAGAAAAGCCAAACCGCCAAUCUGAAUAAAUAAGCAUAAAUUUUAUUGAAUCAUGAAUAAUUUAAGACUGGUACAAUCAUCAGCUUUAUUCUCUAUGACGUGGGGCAUGAUCUCCAGCAGAUCGUUGGCAAAUCCAAAAACCUCAGGACAAAUGAAAAUUAA